AUUGAACGCUGGCGGCAGGCUUAACACAUGCAAGUCGAGCGGGGUGAUGGUGCUUGCACUAUCACUUAGCGGCGGACGGGUGAGUAAUGCUUAGGAAUCUGCCUAUUAGUGGGGGACAACAUCUCGAAAGGGAUGCUAAUACCGCAUACGUCCUACGGGAGAAAGCAGGGGAUCACUUGUGACCUUGCGCUAAUAGAUGAGCCUAAGUCGGAUUAGCUAGUUGGUGGGGUAAAGGCAUACCAAGGCGAGGAUCGGUAGCGGGUCUGAGAGGAUGAACCGCCACACUGGGACUGGGACGCGGCCCAGAAUCCUACGGGAGGGAGCAGUGGGGAAUAUUGGACAAUGGGGGGAACCCUGAUCCAGCCAUGCCGCGUGUGUGAAGAAGGCCUGAUGGUUGUAAAGCACUUUAAGCGAGGAGGAGGCUCUUUUGGUUAAUACCCAAGAUGAGUGGACGUUACUCGCAGAAUAAGCACCGGCUAACUCUGUGCCAGCCGCCGCCGUAA
This 503-nucleotide ribosomal RNA is filed under the name uncultured bacterium. RNAcentral describes it as "partial 16S ribosomal RNA". It matches the Rfam family "Bacterial small subunit ribosomal RNA", at positions 30 to 523 of the family's 1533-position model. The record is from RNAcentral.